AAGCAUGAUCGUAAGGACAUGUGGAGCGCUUAGAAGUGAGAAUGCCGGUGUGAGUAGCGAAAGACGGGUGAGAAUCCCGUCCACCGAUUGACUAAGGUUUCCAGAGGAAGGCUCGUCCGCUCUGGGUUAGUCGGGUCCUAAGCUGAGGCCGACAGGCGUAGGCGAUGGAUAACAGGUUGAUAUUCCUGUACCACCUAUAAUCGUUUUAAUCGAUGGGGGGACGCAGUAGGAUAGGCGAAGCGUGCGAUUGGAUUGCACGUCUAAGCAGUAAGGCUGAGUAUUAGGCAAAUCCGGUACUCGUUAAGGCUGAGCUGUGAUGGGGAGAAGACAUUGAGUCUUCGAGUCGUUGAUUUCACACUGCCGAGAAAAGCCUCUAGAUAGAAAAUAGGUGCCCGUACCGCAAACCGACACAGGUAGUCAAGAUGAGAAUUCUAAGGUGAGCGAGCGAACUCUCGUUAAGGAACUCGGCAAAAUGACCCCGUAACUUCGGGAGAAGGGGUGCUCUUUAGGGUUAACGCCCAGAAGAGCCGCAGUGAAUAGGCCCAAGCGACUGUUUAUCAAAAACACAGGUCUCUGCUAAACCGUAAGGUGAUGUAUAGGGGCUGACGCCUGCCCGGUGCUGGAAGGUUAAGAGGAGUGGUUAGCUUCUGCGAAGCUACGAAUCGAAGCCCCAGUAAACGGCGGCCGUAACUAUAACGGUCCUAAGGUAGCGAAAUUCCUUGUCGGGUAAGUUCCGACCCGCACGAAAGGCGUAACGAUUUGGGCACUGUCUCAACGAGAGACUCGGUGAAAUCAUAGUACCUGUGAAGAUGCAGGUUACCCGCGACAGGACGGAAAGACCCCGUGGAGCUUUACUGUAGCCUGAUAUUGAAAUUCGGCACAGCUUGUACAGGAUAGGUAGGAGCCUUUGAAACGUGAGCGCUAGCUUACGUGGAGGCGCUGGUGGGAUACUACCCUAGCUGUGUUGGCUUUCUAACCCGCACCACUUAUCGUGGUGGGAGACAGUGUCAGGCGGGCAGUUUGACUGGGGCGGUCGCCUCCUAAAAGGUAACGGAGGCGCUCAAAGGUUCCCUCAGAAUGGUUGGAAAUCAUUCAUAGAGUGUAAAGGCAUAAGGGAGCUUGACUGCGAGACCUACAAGUCGAGCAGGGUCGAAAGACGGACUUAGUGAUCCGGUGGUUCCGCAUGGAAGGGCCAUCGCUCAACGGAUAAAAGCUACCCCGGGGAUAACAGGCUUAUCUCCCCCAAGAGUUCACAUCGACGGGGAGGUUUGGCACCUCGAUGUCGGCUCAUCGCAUCCUGGGGCUGUAGUCGGUCCCAAGGGUUGGGCUGUUCGCCCAUUAAAGCGGUACGCGAGCUGGGUUCAGAACGUCGUGAGACAGUUCGGUCCCUAUCCGUCGUGGGCGUAGGAAAUUUGAGAGGAGCUGUCCUUAGUACGAGAGGACCGGGAUGGACAUACCUCUGGUGUACCAGUUGUCGUGCCAACGGCAUAGCUGGGUAGCUAUGUGUGGACGGGAUAAGUGCUGAAAGCAUCUAAGCAUGAAGCCCCCCUCAAGAUGAGAUUUCCCAACUUCGGUUAUAAGAUCCCUCAAAGAUGAUGAGGUUAAUAGGUUCGAGGUGGAAGCAUGGUGACAUGUGGAGCUGACGAAUACUAAUCGAUCGAAGACUUAAUCAA
Molecule: ribosomal RNA, 1673 nt
Filed under: Staphylococcus aureus subsp. aureus CM05
Lineage: Bacteria; Bacillati; Bacillota; Bacilli; Caryophanales; Staphylococcaceae
Description: bacterial LSU rRNA
Rfam family: Bacterial large subunit ribosomal RNA
Source: RNAcentral